Molecule: ribosomal RNA, 421 nt
Filed under: uncultured bacterium
Lineage: Bacteria
Description: bacterial SSU rRNA
Rfam family: Bacterial small subunit ribosomal RNA
Source: RNAcentral
AAUGAACGCUGGCGGCGCGCCUAAUACAUGCAAGUCGAGCGAGAAGACGUAGCAAUACGUUUGUAAAGCGGCGAACGGGUGAGGAAUACAUGGGUAACCUACCCUCGAGUGGGGAAUAACUAGCCGAAAGGUUAGCUAAUACCGCGUACGCUUCUUGGACUUCGGUUCAGGGAGGAAAGCGAUACCGUGGGUAUCGCGCUCUUGGAUGGGCUCAUGUCCUAUCAGCUUGUUGGUGAGGUAACGGCUCACCAAGGCUUCGACGGGUAGCUGGUCUGAGAGGACGAUCAGCCACACUGGCACUGCGACACGGGCCAGACUCCUACGGGAGGCAGCAGUAAGGAAUAUUGCGCAAUGGGCGAAAGCCUGACGCAGCGACGCCGCGUGGGGGAUGAAGGUCUUCGGAUUGUAAACCCCUUUCGGG